GAGAAGUUCGGUUUCAUGAAGGAUCUGGUGGGGGGUCGGCCGGCGAUGGACUUCGGAUGGCACUGGGGAGGUUCGACAGACGUCGGAGGCGAUCGAUCAUUGUAAGAAUCCAACUGUCAGAGUCCAUCCGUUGUGAAAGCUCAUCUGGAAACCAUCCAUUGUGGAGGCUCGGACGGAGUCCGAUUCUUGUGGGAGGCCGCUUAUUGUUGGAGCUC
RNAcentral lists this long non-coding RNA (215 nucleotides) under Elaeis guineensis (African oil palm). RNAcentral's name for it is "long non-coding RNA (EGUI_LNC050281)". The record is from RNAcentral. Lineage: Eukaryota; Viridiplantae; Streptophyta; Magnoliopsida; Arecales; Arecaceae.